GUGCUUGCUUUGGCUACACAUAUACUAAAAAAUUGGAAUGAUGCAGAGAAGAUUAGCAAGGCCCCUAUGCAAGGAUGAUGCACAAAUUUGUGAAGCAUUCCAUAUUUUG
This is a small nuclear RNA of Hyaena hyaena (striped hyena), 109 nucleotides long. NCBI's taxonomy places the organism in Eukaryota, Metazoa, Chordata, Mammalia, Carnivora, Hyaenidae. The record is from RefSeq and is a predicted model, not a curated record.